GACAGCGUGUCCGAGUGGUUAAGGAGGUGGAGUCGAAAUCCUCUAGGCUCAGCCUGCGCCGGCUCGUCGAAUCCUGCCGCUGUCG
Perkinsus olseni is the source of this 85-nucleotide non-coding RNA. Lineage: Eukaryota; Perkinsozoa; Perkinsida; Perkinsidae. The record is from the annotation of a GenBank genome assembly.